Molecule: long non-coding RNA, 1130 nt
Filed under: Salvia miltiorrhiza (redroot sage)
Lineage: Eukaryota; Viridiplantae; Streptophyta; Magnoliopsida; Lamiales; Lamiaceae
Description: long non-coding RNA (SMIL_LNC008643)
Source: RNAcentral
AAUAUUAUUAAUUCUAAAUCAAUAUAUAUAUAUAUAUAUAUAUAUUUUUUUUUAUUACAGCCCAAAAGGCGUCAUUAAAUAAAAGCAGGCCCAGCCCCUUUUAUCAAAUCCUUUCGCAGCCCAACAGAACCAAGCCCAUACCGGGCCCAAACACCUUAGGCCCAAAUCAAAUUUUGAGCAGCUAGGUUUGAAGAAGAAUUUGCAGCAGCAGCCGCUUCUCCUUCCCGUCGCCACGCCUUUCCCAUCAGCCAACCGCCGCCGCCCUCGGAGCAACGACGCCACCAGACGUCGUGCGGAGGUCUCCACGCCGGUCGCAGCUCGAAGUCGCGUCGGAGGAGUGGCUGUGACGUCCGGCUAAGGCACGCCUUCGCCGGUCAUCUCCAACUCCUUCCGUCGAACAGGCGUCCAAGAGCAGUGGCAAAGGUCUCCUCGCCGCCGCCCACAUCGACGUCGUCGCCGCCCCUCUAAGGGUCCGACUGUGCUAGUUCUUUCAGCAGCAGUCACCUCCCGCGCCGGUGUCCAAAAAACGCGCCGGAGGGACUGUUACAGAGAGGCAGCGGGCGUGGGCUAGGAGUCGCGAACGACGUAAACGGCGACAGGUGGUCGGGCACAGCACAACGGCGAGCCCCGAGCCACCCGUCGUCUGCCUCGUGCAGCGAAGUUUCCAGCCCUCAACCCUUGUUUUGCCGCCGCCUAGCGGCUUAAACAAUUUUCCGGCGAAAGGUUCGAAUAUUGCCCAGCAAUAUUCACCCAAUUCCAAAUUGUUGAUUUUCAAUUUCCAAUUUCGAAACAGAUCGUCAAAAUUUCAAUUCCAAAUUAAAUUCAAUUUUCCGAAAACAGAUUUCAAAAAUCAAAUAUUAAUUAACCCAUAAUUAAUUAGAACAUAAUAUCAAUUAUAAAUCGAGCCCCGGGCUCUGAUACCACUGUUGGAAAUCCUUGACAUCAUCUAAUGAUACGCAGCGGAAAUAACAGUCAAGGAUAAGAUCUAGAUUUACAAUUGAUUUAUGUGUAGAGAUUACAAACACACAACGAUAGUUAGAAUAACUUACUUGUUGUGUAGCAAACAAUCCUGUAGCAAUUCUUCUAGCAAUCCUGCAGUUGAAUCCACUACUAUGGUAUCCACGUAUAUU